UACGUAGGGAGCGAGCGUUGUCCGGAAUUACUGGGUGUAAAGGGAGCGUAGGCGGGGCUUUAAGUCAGGUGUGAAAACUACGGGCUCAACUCGUAGACUGCACUUGAAACUGAGGCUCUUGAGUGGAGCAGAGGCAGGCGGAAUUCCCGGUGUAGCGGUGAAAUGCGUAGAUAUCGGGAGGAACAUCAGUGGCGAAGGCGGCCUGCUGGGCUUUUACUGACGCUGAGGCUCGAAAGCGUGGGGAGCAA
Molecule: ribosomal RNA, 248 nt
Filed under: uncultured Ruminococcus sp.
Lineage: Bacteria; Bacillati; Bacillota; Clostridia; Eubacteriales; Oscillospiraceae
Description: partial 16S ribosomal RNA
Rfam family: Bacterial small subunit ribosomal RNA
Source: RNAcentral